UCCAUUUGAAACUUUCAUUUAAAACACUGCAUUCCAGUUCAGCCACUUUGUUACAAAUUGAAGACAGUUGCAUGAAAAUCACCCAGGAAAUAAUGAAUUUUCCAGGAACAGGAUUGGAGACAUCUUCCAGGAAAAAAUUAAAAUAAUCCUGGGUUCACGGUAUAUAUUGUAAAGUUUAAAAUAGCUACAGGGGCAUGAUAACAGUUUGGAAAUAUCUGAGGAUGGAACUUUUAGGGAUGGAAGGUGAAAGUUGGAGCACAAGAAGAGGUGCCACCUGAGCAAAUGUGGCUGACAGUGACAAGCACAACACAUUCCUCACAGCAAGGGAGGUGUCGACAGGAGAACAGGUCCUGUGAUUUGACAGGUGCCAGUGGACAGGAUAUCUGGAACUGACUGUGUAAUUUUUGUGACAAAGCACCAGAAUGUUAACUCUGAGGAAGCCUUAUGCUGCAACAAGAGGGCCGUGGAGAAGAGUGAAGGGAUGAAAACGAAAAUAGUUAUUUCUGCCAAAAGGUCACUCAUUCUGCGCAGCGUAGCAGAACCAAUUACACAACGUGUGUUUCAAACCUCUAAUUACUGUGGCUGCUUCUGCCUUGAUAUUGCUGGAGGGAAACAUCCGUGCAACGAAGCUGUGGUGUCCGUGACAGCUACAUCAUGUGCCAUGAUGGUCAAAUACUGGUCUGUGACUAAAUUUCAGUGUCACCCUUCCUGGCAGUAAUUACACCUCACAAGUAAAAAGGAGUCAUCAUCAAGACUGCCUACAAGGAAACUGUUUUCAUGUGAAACAAGGGACACAAUAAGAAAAUAUUGUAACAUAAAAUAAUCAAUAUGGCAUAUAUUGUUUUUAAAUUCUCAAAGGAUGAAGCUCUUGUGAUAAUGAAUAGUCUAAUUUUUCGUAACUGGAACUAGGUCAACAACAAAUUAAAUUACCGAGCCAGCAUGAAAAAGAUGAAUUACUAGAAAAUAAAAACCUGCCAUUAAAACA
This 985-nucleotide long non-coding RNA is filed under the name Cyanistes caeruleus (blue tit). Its description in RNAcentral is "lncRNA (ENSCCEG00000008708.1)". The record is from RNAcentral. Lineage: Eukaryota; Metazoa; Chordata; Aves; Passeriformes; Paridae.